UACUUGAAUCAAGCUUAUGACCAACUCGAUGAACAAAGUACGCCAGUGCUUCGAGGCGUAUGGUAUUUUCAGCUUUUCUUACUAAGGAUACUUUGUAAGUGAAUCUGUGUGUGUUCAGUGAUGGACAUCCAGAAGGCGGAAACCGCCAACAAAAACAUGCGUCGCAGAAUUGUUUGCAUCAAAAAGUACGGUCCUUCCGGGCGUAGCAAUAGACGCUCACUGUGUGAGAAUAACCCUAAGGGAUGCCGAUUUGGCGAUCGGUACGACAGAGGGAUGCCAAUAAUACGCCUUGCCUUGAGCCGGGAGAAAUCCUGUGUAUAACGGAAGUGGCCGGUAGUAGUAGCCGAAUGGCAUCCUUAACGGGACAGAAUGAUGAUCUGAAUGGACGGUGAAUUUGCAGGUAAUCAACCCUGUACAGGCAAGGGCGCAAGCUGGGGCUAGAAGUUUACGGCCGACGGGCCGUAGGCUCAGACUAGUCUUCCUGUUGACUGAAUAUUGAUGAAAAACAGCUAUGUACGGCGAAGGCCGGGUCAUAAGUUUGAUUGAAG
Molecule: non-coding RNA, 548 nt
Filed under: unclassified sequences
Description: ROOL RNA
Rfam family: ROOL RNA
About the family: Firmicutes, Fusobacteria (1 example), Tenericutes (1 example). Environment (Cow rumen (57))
Source: Rfam by way of RNAcentral